AUACGGAGGGUGCAAGCGUUAUUCGGAAUCACUGGGCGUAAAGGACGCGUAGGCGGGUUGGCAAGUCAGAUGUGAAAUCCUACAGCUUAACUGUAGAACUGCAUUUGAAACUGCUAACCUAGAGCAUGGGAGGGGGAGAUGGAAUUAGUGGUGUAGGGGUAAAAUCCGUAGAUAUCACUAGGAAUACCGAAAGCGAAGGCGAUCUCCUGGAACAUAACUGACGCUAAGGCGUGAAAGCGUGGGGAGCAAACAGGAUUAGAAACCCUAGUAGUCC
RNAcentral lists this ribosomal RNA (274 nucleotides) under uncultured bacterium. RNAcentral describes it as "partial 16S ribosomal RNA". It matches the Rfam family "Bacterial small subunit ribosomal RNA", at positions 523 to 796 of the family's 1533-position model. The record is from RNAcentral.